This 464-nucleotide ribosomal RNA is filed under the name uncultured bacterium. Its description in RNAcentral is "bacterial SSU rRNA". It matches the Rfam family "Bacterial small subunit ribosomal RNA", at positions 8 to 485 of the family's 1533-position model. The record is from RNAcentral.
AGAGUUUGAUCAUGGCUCAGAGUGAACGCUGGCGGCGUGCCUAACACAUGCAAGUCGAACGAGAACGGCUCCAGCUUGCUGGGGUGUCAGCUAAGUGGCGCACGGGUGAGUAAGGUAUAGCUAACGUGCCCCUUGGAGGGGGAUAACGGCUGGAAACGGCCGCUAAUACCCCAUAUUCCUUUCAUACACAAGUGUGAUUGGGAAAUGGAUUCCGCCAAGGGAUCGGGCUAUAUGGUAUCAGCUAGUUGGUGAGGUAAGAGCUCACCAAGGCGAUGACGCCUAGCUGGUCUGAGAGGAUGAUCAGCCACACUGGAACUGAGACACGGUCCAGACUCCUACGGGAGGCAGCAGUGGGGAAUAUUGCACAAUGGGGGAAACCCUGAUGCAGCAACGCCGCGUGGAGGAUGACACCCUUCGGGGCGUAAACUCCUUUUAUGAGGGAAGAUAAUGACGGUACCUCAGAA